ACACAGCUGACUCGUCCUAAAUAGGACGAAACGCGCGUCCUGGAU
This 45-nucleotide non-coding RNA is filed under the name Schistosoma mansoni. The record is from RNAcentral. Lineage: Eukaryota; Metazoa; Platyhelminthes; Trematoda; Strigeidida; Schistosomatidae.